This 477-nucleotide ribosomal RNA is filed under the name uncultured bacterium. RNAcentral describes it as "partial 16S ribosomal RNA". It matches the Rfam family "Bacterial small subunit ribosomal RNA", at positions 28 to 507 of the family's 1533-position model. The record is from RNAcentral.
GAUUAACGCUGGCGGCGUGCAUAACACAUGCAAGUCGAACGAUGAAACUUAGUAGACUUCUUCGGAAAGACACUAAGCGGCUUAGUGGCGAACGGGUGAGUAACGCGUGAGUAGCCUGCCUUACACAAGGGGAUAGCCUUUGGAAACGAAGAAUAAUACCCUAUAAAACCAUAAAAGCACAUGCUAGAAUGGUCAAAGUGAUAGCGGUGUAAGAUGGACUUGCGUCUGAUUAGCUAGUUGGUGAGAUAAAAGCUCACCAAGGCAACGAUCAGUAGCCGGCUUGAGAGAGUGUACGGCCACAUUGGGACUGAGACACGGCCCAGACUCCUACGGGAGGCAGCAGUGGGGAAUUUUGCACAAUGGGGGAAACCCUGAUGCAGCGACGCCGCGUGAUUUAGAAGGCCUUCGGGUUGUAAAAAUCUUUUGUAUAGGAAGAAAAUGACAGUACUAUACGAAUAAGGUCCGGCUAAUUACGUG